CUUCUUUCCCCUUUCCUCUGUCCCCUUCUCUCAUUUCCUUCUCCCUUUCCUCCUCGCCCCCCUGAAUUCAAUCCUUCCAUCUACCCCUUACCCCCUCCUUUGGAAUUGCUGGAAUUAAAGGAGGGAAAAGGGGAGCUGGAAGCGGACCCUCCCCCUUAGUGUUUUUUUUGCGCGUGCUCAUUUCUCCCUUUCUGCCCCUCCCUUCUCGGAAAGAGGUGAGGGGAGUGACAGGUUCGAGCCCUCCCUUCUAGCCCCGCGCAGAGAGCAUGCGCUCUCCUCUCGUGGCAGGCUGACCCCAAGCUUCGCCUUGUCUUCUCUGUCACGUCCUCUCUCCCUGUCCAGUCCCACCCUAGCCUUAAGGCCCUGGGCCCGAGGGAAAGGGGUUCCCACCCCAGUCUUGCAUUUUGCAUUUUCCGUAAUAGAGAGGUCUCAGAAUGGAGAAGGGAGACAGUCAUCGGCAGGGAAACUGAGGCACAGCAGCAGAAGGAUGGAUCCUGGUCUAGUGGUUCCCAGUCGAGUCUUGUAACUGAACCAGAGCGCUGGAGUAUAAGUUGGAGAGAGGACUGAGGCUCUGCCAUUAUAAUCACUGUUGAAUAUAGGCGACUCAUGUGCCUCUCUGGACUUCAGUUUCCUCCCGUUAAGCAAACUAGGCUUCUCUGGCUGAUUUGGGAGCUAUCUCCAUGUAUCUCCUCUUCUCCCUCUCAUGAAACUGAAGCCCACAGCUGAGAUCAAGUGACUUGCUAAGGUCCCUGAGAAAGGAAUUCUGGUUGAACUUAGACCGAGGGCCCUUGGAACCACCCUGGACUCUGAUGAAGGGGCAGAGCAGGCCAUGGACCUAAAUGCAGAAUUUCUGUGCCAUGCCUCAGAAAUCUGAAACUCACUCCAGCCUUGGAAUAAACACAUUGGAAGUCCCCACAGCGCCGGUGAACUCUCCCUUAGACUGGAUGGCUCCUUCCAUAAUCCCUAUUUAACUAUGGAGGGUGCCCAGACCAGCCAUACUUUCAUUUCUCUCCAGGCUACACUCCAGACUUUCUCUACCCCACUCUCACCCCAUGACAAGUACUUUCAUCCCUCUUCCCCCUUUUUAAGCGUCCCUUUCUGUGCAGUCUUCCCCCAUUAGAGUGUAAGCUACUUGAGGGCUUACAUUUGUAUCCCCAGUGCUUAGCACAGAACUUGACACACUAAAUACUUACUGAUAGUAAAAGAAAAUAUAUAAUAAAAUAUCUAGAGGGUAUUUGGCUCAAAUAGGGGGAAAAAGGGCUUUAUGCUCUUCUUGAUCCAAAGUUAACAGACGUCACUCAUGCUAUCCUGUCUCUAGAUAAUCCAAGGAAUGCCAUACCAAACUUGAAGAUGAAUAAUUGAAGCAUAUUAUCGAAUGAUUUUAUUAUUAUAUUUCUUAUAUAUCAAUUUGUAAAGUUACUCUCAACCAGUGGACACAUAUACAUUUAAAAAGAAAAGCAACAUGCAGCAUCAGAUUGGUGAAACGAACAAAAUAUCGCGGUGCGCAAAUGGUACAUACUGGAAGGCAGUGAGGUCCAUGAUUCCCAGAGAACCCCAAGGUCCCAUUCUGAACUUCAGCCAGUGUUGAACCAGAUUUGUUCAGAAGCUUAAAGCAAAGAGGGCAUAUCAUACACGCGCUGUUGUAUCCCCACACUGAACAGCAAAGUACUUGGCUUCCAGAAGAGAAACCGAUGGAUGCGUCUCCCUGUCCUUUGUCCUAGCGGCUUUCAACUCCAGGGCCGGGGGUGAGGGUGAGGGUGGGGGUAGCUGAGCUGAUGUGCAAGCCAACGUGGUGGCUCCUGUUAGGACAGUUCUGCUGGCACUGUCCAGUAUGUGCAUGGACCUUCAUCUAUCAUUAAAACCUGUAGUGGCCAAACUUGGAAGACCAUAUUGUUUUUAAAUAACAAAUUUUAUUGAUAUAUUUUGUUUUUAUGUCACCUAGAUUUCCCCCUGUAUCCUUCUCCUUCCUAGAAAGUCAUCCAGUAUAACAAAGAAUAUUUCUGAAGAAAAAAAUCAGCAAAAUCAUUCAAUACAUUGAAAAAAUUGAACAGUAUGUGCACUAUGCCACACUCAAAGACCCUCCCUCCCUCCACCUGUGAUGGAAGAGGAGACAUCUUCUCAUAUCCCUUCUUCUGGGCCCCAUUUGUCCUUUGUAAUUUCAUUUUUAAGUAUUCUCCAUUUGUCAUUUUUGAGUGUUUUAUGGUUAUUCUUCCAUUCCCACUGUGGUCGCCAUUGUAUAUAGUGUUUUCUUGGCUUGGCUUACUUCACUCUGCAUCAUUUCAUGUAAGUCUUCUCAUACUUUUCUGUAUUCCUUCAUACGUGUCACUUAUUAUAGCACCACAAUAAUCCAUUACAGAAAGACUUCAUUCGAAUUUCUAAGCACAAAAUUCUUCCGCAUCUCAGUCUCCUUCCCCUUUAUUCUCCUACUUCCAAUCCCACCCCCACCCCACUCCCCCCAGGAGGGUAUAUGGUGGUGGUGGGGACAGCAGUGAAGAAAUGUUCAAAAGCAUGUCCCAAUCAAUCAGUAAACAUUUAUUAAGUGCCUACUAUGUGCUAAGCCAUGGCCCACGGCCUCAUUCUGUGUACUGAGUUGCUGACAGGGAGGAGAUUUGAGUCCUAAUGUGCUAGGAGCUGGCGAGAAGGAGGAGAGGAUCAAUUGGGAGAGUGGAUGCUUUUUUUUUCAGAGGCAGCAGGCUGUAGGUAUGGAAUCACUACAUAUACUGUCAGACUCAGGAGUGGGGUCAGUUAAGUUUGCUGAACUUUUUUUCCCCUUUCUUUUUUCUUUGUUACAGGGGAUGGCUCUCUGGGUAGAGGAAGGCAAAGAGGUACUUUUAGAAAGGAAAGUGAUGCAAAAAAACCCCAAUAAAAUAAAAUACAAGGAGGAAGGUUGAGGAAGCAAUGAAAGGAAAGCCAGAUGAGGCUGCUGGGCUGGUCACCAGCCUGCUGAUGGUGGCCCCUCCCCAGAAGCAGGCGAUCCUUGUUUGAUAGCAACAAGUGGGCUGUUUACUCAGUAGUCACACCACUCACUUCCCAGGGUCCCUGUGAAGAAAGUGUGUUGUAAGCCUGAUGGUGCUAUGACACUCAAGUCACUAUUAUUAAAAGACAAAGGAAUGGGGCAUAUACUGUGUAUAAACUUGCAAUGAUCGGUUGGGUUUCAUAGGCUUCACAGAACACUUCCUGAGCACUCCCCUUCAGGUUGGGCCUCUCACUUAGCUAGGAUUAGGCUGGAGGCGUGCCCAGAUUCUGGGUUCUCCAGAAAGCAACAGCAGGAAUAGCACAAACUGGGAUGCAAGAGCCUGGGCUCUCAUCUCAGCUUUGCUACAAGCUUCCUGCAUGAGUCAUUUCCCUGCUUCAGGUCUCAGCUUCCUCAUCUGUAAAAUGGAGUUGGACUAGAUGAUUUCUUAGGUUUCUUCUAGCUCUGGCAUC
Non-coding RNA from Phascolarctos cinereus (koala), 3426 nucleotides. The record is from RefSeq and is a predicted model, not a curated record. Lineage: Eukaryota; Metazoa; Chordata; Mammalia; Diprotodontia; Phascolarctidae.